GUUACUUCCUCUUCUAGUUACCAUUUGAUGUUGAGCUGAUAUUGGCAUGAAAGAUGAUUUUGGGUAUUGAAGCACGUAACUGUUGUUAAUAAUAAUAACAAAAUAAUAAUUUAUAAUGCUGGUUAGGUCAUUUUCUGGGAACGGUAGUUGAUAAAUACAUCAUGGAGAAAGCUACUAGCUUUUGCUAGCUAGGAGCCUAGGACUGAAUAUUACAGGAUGUUAAGGUAGCCUUAACUUGUUUAAUUUAACAUGGGAGAGAACUAUCCUUUAAUGAUGAUUGAUUCUGUUUGGGGUAUCUGCGUGAAGUUUAGUUGAUUAUUUUUUGGGCAAUGGGUGUCACGUGAAUCUUCUAUGCUCAUUGGAGUUUAGAUGUUAGGAAAAUGAGUAUUUGUAGGAGAUAAGGGAAGUAAUUAUGCCCAACCUUUGCAAACUCGAAAUAUGAAAUCUCAUUUGUGUGCAUAAGCACUUUCUAUUUUCUUGUUAAUGUUGUAAUGGUUCUCUUAAAGUGCUUAGUAUGGGAGCUCUCUUCUCUUGAUGAUUGUCUUGUUUAGUUGCAUUGCCAAUUUUCUUAAUUUGCAGUUAGAUGUUUGCACGUUUAAGCCUUUCUUUAUCCCAUCUUUAAGGCACACAUGAGGUCCCUUGGAAAUAACUGGGAGUUAAUCAAUUUUUCUUCCUGCUUCCUUCUGUUGUAUUGAGAAUGUUUAGAUGUUUUAAGCUCAAGUUAUGAGUCUGAGACAACUUAUUUAAAAUUGAAUGUUAUUGUACUCAUGACUUUCAAUAAAAAGAAUGUGGGUGUAGUUAGGAUCAGUGAUGCAAGAAACAAAUAUUUCUACAUGUUUACCAUUACUUCAUAAUUUUAUAUGUUUGGAGGAACAUUCCCACUUAACACUGUUUCCCUUUUCAUUUAAGAAAUUAAAAUACAGCUGAAGUAUAUUAUAGUUUUAGUUCAGACUCAAUGUAACUUUUAUAUGAGGUUUGUUGGUGGCCGCUGGGCUAAGAAUUCAAGUUAGAGGCAAGUUCUCAUUUUUAUUUUAUGUAAAAUAUUGAUCUUGAUGGUCACAUGUUUUAAAUAUCUGAUCAUGUGCAUAAUGUAUGCUUCAACUGUUUUUCUCUUCUCAAUUUUUUUGGUCUACGAUUGUUUCUCUGGGCGUAUCUUCACUACACUUGUAGUGAGUUUAAAGAGAUAUCUGAUUAUGGUUACUUUGGAUCUUUAGAUUGAAGGAUUCAUACAUCAUGUGCCUAUGUCAUACAGAUUGCUGAUUUGUUGUAUUAUUUUUGUAGACCAUCAUGGCUAGUGGAUGGUCAUAGAUUUGCAAGAAAAAUCAAGAGUGCAUCUAAUCCUGAAAAGGUGAUAUGGGAGAGCAAUCCAUCUAAAGCUUGUCCAAAUUGCCACCAUGCUAUUGACAACAGUGAUGUUACUCAAAAGUGGCCUGGACUACCUAGAGGUGUGAAGUUUGAUCCAACUGAUCUAGAAAUUAUUUGGCAUUUACUUGCAAAAGUUGGUAUGGGAGGUUUGGAACCGCAUCCUUUCAUUGAUGAAUUCAUUCCUACUAUUAACAAGGAUGAUGGAAUCUGUUAUACCCAUCCUCAGAAUCUACCAAGUGUCAGGCUAGAUGGGAGUGUAUCUCACUUUUUUCAUAGAGCAAUCAAAGCUUACAAUACUGGGACUCGAAAGCGCCGUAAAGUUCAAGGUGAUGAUUUUGCCGAUGUCCGCUGGCACAAGACUGGCAGGACUAAACCAGUGAUAUUGGAUGGGGUUCAGAAGGGAUGCAAGAAAAUUAUGGUUUUAUACAUGAGCACAGUUAGGGGUGGCAAAGCAGAGAAAACUAAUUGGGUGAUGCAUCAAUAUCACCUGGGAAC
This 1860-nucleotide unclassified non-coding RNA is filed under the name Hevea brasiliensis (rubber tree). The record is from RNAcentral. Lineage: Eukaryota; Viridiplantae; Streptophyta; Magnoliopsida; Malpighiales; Euphorbiaceae.